AUUGAACGCUGGCGGCAGGCCUAACACAUGCAAGUCGAACGAGUGGCGGACGGGUGAGUAAUGUCUGGGAAACUGCCUGAUGGAGGGGGAUAACUACUGGAAACGGUAGCUAAUACCGCAUACCAUCGGAUGUGCCCAGAUGGGAUUAGCUAGUAGGUGGGGUAAAGGCUCACCUAGGCGACGAUCCCUAGCUGGUCUGAGAGGAUGACCAGCAAAACUGGAACGGAGACCCGGACCAGACUCCUACGGGAGGCGGCAUUGGGGAAUAUUGAACAAUGGGAGAAAGCCGGAUGCAGCCAUGCCGCGUGUAUGAAGAAGGCCUUCGGGUUGUAAAGUACUUUCAGCGGGGAGGCGUUACCCGCAGAAGAAGCACCGGCUAACUCCGUGCCAGCAGCCGCGGUAAUAC
This 406-nucleotide ribosomal RNA is filed under the name uncultured bacterium. RNAcentral's name for it is "partial 16S ribosomal RNA". It matches the Rfam family "Bacterial small subunit ribosomal RNA", at positions 30 to 526 of the family's 1533-position model. The record is from RNAcentral.